GGGUACCCAGUCCAUUUUAAACCU
This 24-nucleotide non-coding RNA is filed under the name Arabidopsis thaliana (thale cress). Lineage: Eukaryota; Viridiplantae; Streptophyta; Magnoliopsida; Brassicales; Brassicaceae. The record is from RNAcentral.